RNAcentral lists this ribosomal RNA (286 nucleotides) under uncultured bacterium. Its description in RNAcentral is "partial 16S ribosomal RNA". It matches the Rfam family "Bacterial small subunit ribosomal RNA", at positions 773 to 1060 of the family's 1533-position model. The record is from RNAcentral.
GUGGAUUAGAUACCCGAGUAGUCCACGCUGUAAACGGUGGGCACUAGUUGUGGGAACCUUCCACGGUUUCUGCGACGUAGCAAACGCAUUAAGUGCCCCGCCUGGGGAGUACGAUCGCAAGAUUAAAACUCAAAGGAAUUGACGGGGGCCCGCACAAGCAGCGGAGCAUGCGGCUUAAUUCGACGCAACGCGAAGAACCUUACCAAGGCUUGACAUAUAGCGAAAAGUGGCAGAGAUGUCAUGUCCGCAAGGGCGCUAUACAGGUGGUGCACGGCCGUCGACAGCU